Solanum lycopersicum (tomato) is the source of this 720-nucleotide long non-coding RNA. RefSeq lists it as uncharacterized. Lineage: Eukaryota; Viridiplantae; Streptophyta; Magnoliopsida; Solanales; Solanaceae. The record is from RefSeq and is a predicted model, not a curated record.
AUUUCCUUUUUAUCAGUCUUCUGCCUAAAAGAAACCGAUCCCCACUCUCUAAAAUUCUCUCUCUAAAAAUUCCGGUGAGAUGGUCGCCGUAAGUUCGUUUUCCGGCGAAUAUCCCGGCGUUAUAGUUACCUGUGAUCGGAUCGAAACUUACUUCACUCCAGCAAUGGAAUAAUCACCACACUGGUUUUUAUCUCCGGCGACGCUAAUUUGCGACUGGCAGAAAUAAGCAGCUGGAUUUCCGGGUUGUCUUAUUUUGGUCUGGCUUUACUUUAGAGUCAAUAGGAAACUUGUUCUGCGCGAUGGAGGAGCUAUCGUUAGCUCACUUGUCUUGGUUUAAUCUUUCUCUCGACUGUAAAUGCGUAAAACAGACUCAUUUGAUGUAGGGAUAUGGUAAUGAGCUUCAUGUUUAAGUUGAAUCUGUUCUUUCUCUUCCAAGGGGUGUAUUGUAAUGGUUUUGAAUGGGUUCAUUUUUUGGGGUGUGUAUAAAUUUUAGUAUGAUGAUGAUAUAAGUCUAAUAGGUGACUUGUUACAGAGUUACUCGAUAUCUCUCGUAAGUAGAUAUCCUAUGAAAUUAAUCGAGGUCUCUCGUGAGAGGUAAGCAGACAUCCUAUGAAAUUAGUCGAGGUGAUAAGAUCUCAAGUUCCAAGAUUUGCAUAGACACAGAAAGAAGAGCUGUACAGUGUUGAUAUUUGUUAAAUUCAGUAAAGUCUGAAUUAUGCA